RNAcentral lists this unclassified non-coding RNA (3737 nucleotides) under Acanthaster planci (crown-of-thorns starfish). RNAcentral's name for it is "homeobox protein SIX1-like, transcript variant X1". Lineage: Eukaryota; Metazoa; Echinodermata; Asteroidea; Valvatida; Acanthasteridae. The record is from RNAcentral.
GCCAAUCACAGUCAGGGCGAGUAAAAGGCUCCGGCUCAGCGUGUGACCGUCAGAGUGAGUGGUGUCAAAGACUCGCCAGAGAACUUCCAGUCACAAGCGGCGACGGUGUGCUGUCAGCAGUCAGAGCGUUCCCGUAGUACCGGGCCAGCGUUGCCGUGCACUUGUCGAUUCCGACAGUUCCCGAGUACAGUGGGACGUUCAGACCAGGGUGAGCAUAAUCACCGAGAAUAAAAACCUGCCCGACUUUUUCUGAGGUUGUCUUCAUCUGUUGGUGUGCUCCCCCACCAUGUUACCGUCGUUUGGGUUUACACAAGAGCAGGUAGCCUGCGUCUGCGAGGUUCUGCAGCAGUCGGGUAACAUCGAGCGCCUGGGCCGUUUUCUCUGGUCGCUGCCGGCCUGCGAACACCUGCACAAGAAUGAGAGCGUACUCAAAGCCAAGGCCAUCGUGGCCUUCCAUCGCGGCAACUUUCGGGAACUCUACAAGAUCUUGGAAAGCAAUAAUUUUUCGCCACACAACCACCCGAAACUGCAAGCGUUGUGGCUGAAGGCGCACUACAUCGAGGCUGAGAAGCUCCGCGGCCGACCGCUGGGAGCUGUCGGUAAAUACAGGGUAAGACGAAAGUUCCCGCUGCCGCGGACCAUCUGGGACGGGGAAGAGACGAGCUAUUGCUUCAAGGAGAAGUCGAGGGGAGUCCUCAGGGAGUGGUACUCACACAACCCUUACCCCUCACCCAGAGAAAAAAGAGAACUGGCUGAAGCAACUGGACUCACCACUACUCAAGUUAGUAAUUGGUUCAAAAAUCGACGGCAGCGGGACAGAGCGGCUGAAGCAAAAGAAAGGGAGAGUGCAGAGCAGGAGAAUAAGGGGAAAUUAGCAACGCCCAGCACCAGCUCCGAAGAGGACCUCGGCAUGGUGAUGAACGGCAAGGAGAACCUGGGCGACGUGACAGAGAUGGGCGUGUCUGCCGCCUCCUCGGUUCAUCACCACCAUCACCACCAGCACCAGCAUCCUCACCACGCUCAUCAUCAGCAGAGCCUGAUGAUGAGCGAGUUGGGCAAGGCUAACCUCAUGUCGCCCAUGACCAGCCUGCCGCCCGGCGCCUCCGACGUGGCGGGGCUCACACAGGUCAACAUGUCUGAGUCCGUGCUCCAGAACUCGCUACAGAAUUCCAUGUUGGCCCCCAUGUCCAACAAUCUGGUGGAUAUAGGAUCGUAGCGAUGGAGGGCGAAAGAGCCUGCCCGAGCGCCCAGAAACGAGCCAUCAGCCCCCACCAAGAACAUUGUCAACUCCCAGUGAGGCUGUUGAAAGAGGGGGUGAACAGAGAGAUGAAGAAGGCAGCGCGCAAGUGACUCGAGCUGUUCUCCUCUUCGAUUAUUAUCGGCGCUACUUAUCUCUUAUUCUGCAUCGAUGGCACUAUCUUGUACAGCCAUCUCCGAACCUGGGGGUUGGCUGGGUGAGUAGCCUGACAAAAACGGUUUCAAGAAAACGAUGCUCUGAUAGCAUUUAUUGGCGGGAAGACAAAAAUGUUGAUGAAUGAGGACGGAGCUAGACGAGGCUCAUGCUAGGUUGGAAGUGGUUGAUAUUCUCUGUGUACAGUUUUUUUAUUUUUUUAUUUUUUUAUCGGUGACAAUGACAGAGCCCAAACAGCCGGGAAAUACGCCGAGGAGAGACGGCAUGAAUCGGGCGCGCCGUGAACAACAAAAGAGUGGGGGAAAAUUGCGUAGGGAGAUGGUGCCGAGUAACCAGGAGACUCACUGGGGACAGACCGUACAGGGAUGUCCUUAGGAAUAUUGCUCCUUUGUGCUCAACAUACGAGAAGAUUGAGUUCAUCACACUGUGCAUUUGAACUGUUAAGCUGUAAAUGGGACACUUUUUCCGAAAGCCCUGAUCGAAAACGUCAUUUGCGAGAGGGGACUUGCUUUGGGAGUCCCGCAACCGUUUGUUCCAAAUGAUUAUGUUUUGUAUCAUGUAAUUGUUCAUUCAUCAGAUUUGAGGUUAUUUUGUUGAUUGUAUAAUUUUGUAAGGUUUGGCCUCUAGUUGUUUUUGGUUCACUACAAAUAGGCUGUGCAUGCGUAUCGAUCACCCUUCUCAUUUCUUACCGUCUAUAGGACACACUCUGUUUGUCUGCAUGCAUGGGAGAGUUUAUCAUGGAGAGUGCUCAAAAAUUCGAGGUCUUGGUUUUGCAGCAAAUCAGUGACAAUCACAUGUAAUAGAUGCGUCCCCCAUUGACUUGCUGAUAGUAGAAAACCAUUGUUAUCAACGUUGUUUAAUAUUCCCGACGAAGUAAUAAGACCGGCCAGUUUUGUCUUUCGCAAAAAAGACUAUAGAAAUGAUUGUUUUUCUUGUUACUAGUUAAUCAUGUUCGGUCCUGAAAAGCUGUCGUUUCUCUCAAACUAAUGCACUGGAAGUUAAUCAGUCAUUAACAUCUUAAUUGAAUUUUGGAUUUGUUGUUGCAGAAAAGCUAUAUCGACAAAUACGAAGUCAUUGGCGUCACAUAAUAGUGACUUUGCAAGUCUACCAUUUUUCAAUUUCUUUUUGAUGAAGUAUAUUUUAAGCUUACAGAGUAGUAUAUAAGUGCACAGUAGUUUCUUAAGACGCUCGGGAUUCUAGACCUCUGUCGUCCAGGGAACAGACCAUAUCGAGUCAAUCCGCCGUGCGUCUAUGUCUUAUUUAACAUUGACAUGUAACACAGAGACAUGUGUUAACUCAAUUUACAAGCUCCAGAACAAAUCCCUUGCAUGCAGCAUGAUUUAAAACCCAACCACCGCCAAGCGGGACAGAAAGGUGACGUCGAGCCAACCCACCAAUAACCAUGCGUGUCACGGCCAGGUUUUAUUGUCUCCCGGUAGAUAGCGAUAGGGCCAUGUCACACCAGGCCCGUUUUACCCCCUUUGAGGUUUGCUGGUGUAGGAUUUCGACAGAGUUAUGCCAGCCUGUUCUUCCGCGAAAGAAAAAAAUUCCACGUUCCUUAUCAAACAACUCCAGAUUGGACCUGUUGGAAAGAUGCCUUUGCAAAAAUUGUCCACAUACAUACAGAAGGAAAACACUUUAUUACGGUGUUGGCGAAAAUGUUCACCAGUCAGUGUCACGCUGAUAUGCACUGAAUAUUCUCCAUCACAGGCGAAAGUUUCACAAGGUAGGUUCAGCCAUGUUCCUUCCUCCGUGGUUCAACCAGCGGAAUUUAACAAGCAUUGGCACACAAACUCAGCUGAGUGAACGACAUGUGACACGUCAUCAACGUUAUGGUACGCAGUACCUUUUGAGCAUUAUGUCUGUGAAGAAGAAACUUUGGUUCACAUUGUAAACGGUGUGAAAACGAGAAAGACUUGAAGGCAAGGCAAGGAAGAAUUACUCCAAUAAGAAAGUACGUUUAAUUGUUCCAUCACAAGGGAUUUUUCCUAUGCCGUUUCAGUGUAUGCAGAACUCUGUACUUUUCUACUUCUCCAUCCAGUGAUACUGAGGCCACUCAAAUCGCAGGCAAACGAAAGGGCGCUCAGAAUAGCUUGGCAUGAAGACAAAUUUCAGUAUUUUGUAUUAAGAAACUUGAACAACGUGCACAAUAGUCUCGUUACAAUUCGUCUAUGACGGCGCUAACCGUUCGACAGUACGGCGUCUCGGUCAGCUAGAAUUCGACUACAUGCAUACACAGUUAGACUGCCCUAUACUCCAUGUGGACCCUCACAGAUGGAUAGAAUGGGCUUUUAAAUUAAAAAAAGAAAAUCAGGUUUCAUGUGAA